Molecule: non-coding RNA, 876 nt
Organism: Camellia sinensis
Lineage: Eukaryota; Viridiplantae; Streptophyta; Magnoliopsida; Ericales; Theaceae
Source: RefSeq, a predicted model, not a curated record
UUCAAAUUUGGAGGCAAUUCAUUUUGACUUUUUCUUUUCAUACAUAUUUGUUUUUAUCAAUCCACCCAAACCAAAGCCAGAAGACUCUUGACUUUUGCUCUCCCUCUCUCUCAGGGACGACUCACCAUCACUUUAGGCCCCAUCGCUCACCAUUGAUCUUCCACCAUCGUUCACUGUCAAUCUUCCAUCGUCGCACACCGCCACCGCCGUUACUCGCCUCGCAGCUCCUCGCAUUGCAUUGCUUCGACAUUGAGAACCAAGUGACAGAAAGAUUGGAAAACUGUGUGAAUAUGCUGCAAAAAAUCCUUUAUGUAUAUCCAAGGAACACUUCUGAUGUGUUUUGGGAAGCAAUUUCUAACCAUCAAGUUCUCUCACUGUACUAGGGCCUUGGGACAAAGAACCUGCAGUCUGUUAUUUUUUUGUUUAUCUACUUCUAUGGAUACAGCUUCUUUAAGAAGCUAUACUUAAAGAGAAGUGGAUCAAAAUCUAUUGGAACAAAAGCUAAUUUGGUUCUUACUGCUACUGUUGGGGCUUGUACGGUUGUGGUGACGAAGCCUUUGGAUACAGCAUCAUCAAGGAUGCAAACAAGUGAAAUUGGAAAAUCUAACGGACUCUGGAAAACCCUUUCAGAAAACACUUGAAGUGAGACAUUUGAUGGUCUAGGCAUUUCUCUUCUUCUGACAACAAAUCCAUCUAUCCAGACUGCAGAGGAGGCUAUGACAUCGAUUGAAUCAACAUUUUGCUUUCGAUUGACAACCUCGUCAUGCCAUUGUUCAAAUUGUUUGUUAGGCUCUAAUUUAUUUAGCCAUGAAUGAUAUUAUGUUUCUUUUUUUCUUGUUAUUUUUAUUUCAAUUGAUAGAUUUAGUUUUCUUUUUC